Molecule: long non-coding RNA, 1521 nt
Organism: Acanthaster planci (crown-of-thorns starfish)
Lineage: Eukaryota; Metazoa; Echinodermata; Asteroidea; Valvatida; Acanthasteridae
Source: RefSeq, a predicted model, not a curated record
UGUGCUAUCAGUAGCCUAGAUAUUGCAUGAAUUCUACAACUUUACUUCCCCUUUUGGAAACAAUUUUCCAUAAAUAUUAACUAGAAACAAAGGUCAAUUACUUGUAGCUGAUGUCAAUUUUUUUUUCAAAAAUUGCAAAUGUGAGUAGAAAGACAUAUAAAACAAGCAUUUUAAUGUGAGAAGAGGUUAUGGAAAGAUGUUUGUGAAAACUUAAAAGACAUCCGAUCUCAACUGGCCCACCGGACCACCAGUUUUAUUAGGUCAGCUGGUCCGCCAACUUUUAUACUGGCCUCAGGCCAGCGGACCACCAUUAAUUUUGACCCCUGGAAAGGGUUGACCUACAUCUAAUCUUCGUUAUUGUUAAUAAUCAGCAUAAAGUUUGUUUAGGUUCUUCUACCUUAAUGAUGGAAAAAACUUCGAACUCUUCCGUUGCCAUUUUCAGACAUGCACAAGCGCAAGCAUGUGGCCUGCCUAUGGUGUACAUUGGUGCGUGUACAGUGUGCAUGUACACGUAUGCUUGUACGACAUGUAUUUUUUCAUCCACAUUGAAGUCAAGUCUUUUGCUUGUUUUCAGCCAAAUUGCCGAAGGAAACAUGCAUGCAGGAAUACUGGGAUUCAUUUUAUAUCAUUAUUUAUUUUAGUUUGCUGAUCACAUCAUAAUCUGUAUCUACUGCAUUGCAAACAGUAAGGCACAAAAACGUGUGUCAAGUACUGACCUGCAUUAUGACCUGCAUACCAUUUUGGGAAAAAAAAUUAUGGAGUGAUGAGAAAUCUGUUCCAAGGUGUUUGUCAUAUUCCUAGACAUACACAUACGAAAAUGAAUAGCUUUUGCAUUUGCAACUACCUACCCAUCGCUGGCCGGCUGUGAUGGAUGCGUGGUUCGUGUAUUAAAGACGUUCUCGACUCGUAUAGCUAUGGCUCUUUCUGUUCAAUAUUGGUUGAAUUACGUCAAAGACUGAUCAAAAUUGGCCGAUAAAAGUGAAAACACAGUAGUCUGCGGCAGGGUUCUUCGCUUUGUCUACGACAUUGAUCUGCAAAUGGUCAGAGGCAAUGUACAUGUACAGGCGUCGAUCAAGGACACAAGUUACAAAGUUGAGAUCAAGUUAGGGGAUGACUUUCAAGUGAAAGCAUUGUGUGAGUGUCCCUUGAGAAAUUACAAGUGUCACCAUGUAGCAGCUGAUCUAUUGUUUGGCAGGUAAGCAAGACUGAUGUGAAGUGCAGCUGGCUGAAAAAUCCAAAAUCUGGUCUGCCGAAGAAGACAACGACCAUUGCUGAGUUGUAUCCUUACACCAAGCAAGAUUAUUGGUAAGAAAAGGACACAAAAGGAUGAAAAGCUCCUUCCCCAAACCCUUAUCUUCUAGAGGAUCUCACCCCUAGCAAGGACUACGCACAUGCUGAGUGUUCCACAACUUGGCUGAAGAAGGCACUCAUUUUGAAACCUUAAAAAAUUGGCUGAGGCAGCCUCUCUGACUGUGGGGCAGAGGGGAAACAGCCUGUGGGCGGCCUCACGGAAGUACAAGU